This 497-nucleotide ribosomal RNA is filed under the name uncultured bacterium. RNAcentral describes it as "partial 16S ribosomal RNA". It matches the Rfam family "Bacterial small subunit ribosomal RNA", at positions 28 to 507 of the family's 1533-position model. The record is from RNAcentral.
GAUGAACGCUGGCGGCGUGCCUAAUACAUGCAAGUCGAGCGAACGGACGAGAAGCUUGCUUCUCUGAUGUUAGCGGCGGACGGGUGAGUAACACGUGGAUAACCUACCUAUAAGACUGGGAUAACUUCGGGAAACCGUAGCUAAUACCGGAUAAUAUUUUGAACCGCAUGGUUCAAAAGUGAAAGACGGUCUUGCUGUCACUUAUAGAUGGAUCCGCGCUGCAUUAGCUAGUUGGUAAGGUAACGGCUUACCAAGGCAACGAUGCAUAGCCGACCUGAGAGGGUGAUCGGCCACACUGGAACUGAGACACGGUCCAGACUCCUACGGGAGGCAGCAGUAGGGAAACUUCCGCAAUGGGCGAAAGCCUGACGGAGCAACGCCGCGUGAGUGAUGAAGGUCUUCGGAUCGUAAAACUCUGUUAUUAGGGAAGAACAUAUGUGUAAGUAACUGUGCACAUCUUGACGGGACCUAAUCAGAAAGCCACGGCUAACUACGUG